This 468-nucleotide ribosomal RNA is filed under the name uncultured bacterium. Its description in RNAcentral is "partial 16S ribosomal RNA". It matches the Rfam family "Bacterial small subunit ribosomal RNA", at positions 28 to 507 of the family's 1533-position model. The record is from RNAcentral.
GACGAACGCUGGCGGCGUGCUUAACACAUGCAAGUCGAACGGAAAGGCCCUGCUUUUGUGGGGUGCUCGAGUGGCGAACGGGUGAGUAACACGUGAGUAACCUGCCCUUGACUUUGGGAUAACUUCAGGAAACUGGGGCUAAUACCGGAUAGGAGCUCCUGCUGCAUGGUGGGGGUUGGAAAGUUUCGGCGGUUGGGGAUGGACUCGCGGCUUAUCAGCUUGUUGGUGGGGUAGUGGCUUACCAAGGCUUUGACGGGUAGCCGGCCUGAGAGGGUGGCCGGGCUCCAUGGGACUAAGGUAGGGCCCAGAAUCCAACGUGAGGCAAGAGGCGGGAAAAUUGCACAAAGGGGCGGAGCCAGAGACGAGAACCGCCGGUUCGGGAAGACCGGCUUUGGGUUAUAAACCGCUUUCGCCGUUGACAGAGCCGUAGUGACGGUAAUGGGUAAAAAAGCCACGGCUAACUACGUG